GAGCAACGGCCUUCUAAGCCGUGGGUCAGGGGUUCGAAUCCCUUAAGGUACACCA
RNAcentral lists this transfer RNA (55 nucleotides) under Clostridium perfringens D str. JGS1721. Its description in RNAcentral is "tRNA-Arg". It matches the Rfam family "tRNA", at positions 21 to 71 of the family's 71-position model. Rfam says of the family: Transfer RNA (tRNA) molecules are approximately 80 nucleotides in length. Their secondary structure includes four short double-helical elements and three loops (D, anti-codon, and T loops). Further hydrogen bonds mediate the characteristic L-shaped molecular structure. tRNAs have two regions of fundamental functional importance: the anti-codon, which is responsible for specific mRNA codon recognition, and the 3' end, to which the tRNAs corresponding amino acid is attached (by aminoacyl-tRNA synthetases). tRNAs cope with the degeneracy of the genetic code in two manners: having more than one tRNA (with a specific anti-codon) for a particular amino acid; and 'wobble' base-pairing, i.e. permitting non-standard base-pairing at the 3rd anti-codon position. The record is from RNAcentral. Lineage: Bacteria; Bacillati; Bacillota; Clostridia; Eubacteriales; Clostridiaceae.